Long non-coding RNA from Musa acuminata subsp. malaccensis (wild Malaysian banana), 1419 nucleotides. RefSeq lists it as uncharacterized. The record is from RefSeq and is a predicted model, not a curated record. Lineage: Eukaryota; Viridiplantae; Streptophyta; Magnoliopsida; Zingiberales; Musaceae.
CUCCCAUCGAAGACGCUUCACUUCUUCCCCACCGCCAUCGUCGGUGCCACGUCCGUCUUCGGUCGGUAAGUCGUGACACAACUCAGUUACAACCCUGGGAAGAGAGGAGAGAAAGCAGGAAUCGGAAGAUCCUCGGAGGAGAGACAGUAGCGAAGAAUCAUCAUCAAUCGCGUAAUCCGAUCCCGGAAUAGGGUCAUCCUUGAAGGGAAGAAUCGUCAUCAAGCGCGCAAUCCGAUCCCGGAAUAGGGUCAUCCUCGAAGGGAAGAAUCCGGUGAAAAAGCACAUUAAGGUGGAAUCUUCUCCAUUGAAGCUCCUCCUCAUGUUUCGAAUGUCCAAGUGGCCCAGUCACUGGAUACGAUAAGGAGACUAUGUAGGAUUGUCUAUAAAUAUCUGGAAGAUGGAACUAAGGUCACAGUGUCUACAGGACUAGCAGCAUCUGGAGCCAGAAUUCCUCACCUGAGAUAUUAAAACACAAGAGAAAACUUAGACCCAACAAUGAGUGCCGAACUAUUUGGCUUCUUUUUCUUGCAGUUGGCUCCAAGGAUACACUGUUUGAUCAUGUACUGGAAACAAACAUACGAUGUUAAAAGGGGAAUAGACAUGUCUGAUCUGUAGAAGUCCUGACUAGCCCUGGAGAUUCUGCUUGAUUGGCUGACAUUGAGGUUUCAUAUUUGGGAAUUGGGACAGUACUCCGUAUAAUAUAUUUUCCAUUAGAGAUGAAACGGCUCAAUUUGUGUCGGUGCGUGUCCCCAUUACACUGAAUUGUUCCUAUCCAUGGGAUGUGACUGGGGAUUAUGGAGAUCAAGGCAACUGCAUCUACUUCCCAAACUGGGUCUUCAAAUGCUACUAUAUUUCCCUUUGGCUUGUGGUAAAGAAGUGGAGAACUUUCCUGCCCCUGAUAUAGGACAUUACGAUAGGGACGGACUGUUUCAUGCCAGCAUUUGCAACUAUUCUCACUGUAGAACACAGGUGGGAUGCCUUCAUCACCAGUUUGAAGAGCUCCAUGGGAGCCGAGAAGAAGGGGCUGUGAUCGGUCUCCAUGACCAACACCUCAUCCGGUGGCCACCUCCGGAUCAUGGCGUCUUGCUGCUGUGGGUUCACCAUGUUGUCAUGUGUGGUCUUUAUGUACACUCGUCUUGCUUGCUCCAACCCCUCCACUUUGUGGAACCUUGUGCUGGGUAGAGUGGCCGGCCAUGGUCGUAGUAGCAUGGAAGCCAACGUGGAGUCCUGAGCCAUGCAACGUAACACAUGUUGAGACUACAAAUCUAUAUCUUGUCGUACUUAUCACUCGAUGACUCGACACAAAGAAGGAAAAUACAUCUUUGGUUAGACCGGUAAACAUUGAUCGAUGCUUGUCGAUCAGACUAUUUUAUAUUACAUCAGAUCUAAUCUAAUGAGCAUUGUCAGGAUUUGUUACCU